This 232-nucleotide ribosomal RNA is filed under the name uncultured bacterium. RNAcentral describes it as "partial 16S ribosomal RNA". It matches the Rfam family "Bacterial small subunit ribosomal RNA", at positions 99 to 334 of the family's 1533-position model. The record is from RNAcentral.
CGGACGGGUGAGUAACGCGUAGGAAUCUACCUGGUAGUGGGGGACAACAUGGUGAAAACCAUGCUAAUACCGCAUACGCCCUAUGGGGGAAAGCGGGGGAUCUUCGGACCUCGCGCUAUUGGAUGAGCCUGCGUAAGAUUAGCUAGUUGGUGGGGUAAAAGCUCACCAAGGCGACGAUCUUUAGCUGGUCUGAGAGGAUGAUCAGCCACACUGGAACUGAGACACGGUCCAG